Molecule: ribosomal RNA, 468 nt
Filed under: uncultured bacterium
Lineage: Bacteria
Description: partial 16S ribosomal RNA
Rfam family: Bacterial small subunit ribosomal RNA
Source: RNAcentral
GACGAACGCUGGCGGCGUGCUUAACACAUGCAAGUCGAACGGAAAGGCCCUGCUUUUGUGGGGUGCUCGAGUGGCGAACGGGUGAGUAACACGUGAGUAACCUGCCCUUGACUUUGUGAUAACUUCAGGAAACUGGGGCUAUUACCGGAUAGGAGCUCUUGCUCCAUGGUGGGGGUUGGAAAGUUUCGGCGGUUGGGGAUGGACUCGCGGCUUAUCAGCUUGUUGGUGGGGUAGUGGCUUACCAAGGCUUUGACGGGUAGCCGGCCUGAGAGGGUGACCGGCCACAUUGGGACUGAGAUACGGCCCAGACUCCUACGGGAGGCAGCAGUGGGGAAUAUUGCACAAUGGGCGGAAGCCUGAUGCAGCAACGCCGCGUGCGGGAUGACGGCCUUCGGGUUGUAAACCGCUUUCGCCUGUGACGAAGCGUGAGUGACGGUAAUGGGUAAAGAAGCACCGGCUAACUACGUG